CAUCUGUCAAGCGUAGUGAGGAAGACGCGAGGGGAAAAUUUAAAAAAAUUAAAUUAAUUACUAGAAAUAUUGCCAUUUUGGAAGUUUGUUCUUGUAGCUUCAUUGACGUACCCGGUCAUUGUUCCGGUUCUUUUUCUUAGAAUCAUUCUCUGGAGAGACGAAAGCUGAGUUGAAAAAUGGCGCCACAACUUCGAGGGAUGGUCGAGCGCUCAAUGCGUCGAGACAUUUUGCAAGCUGUUGCCGUUGCUUUCGCUAUUGGAUGUGGGUACAAAUAUUUUGUUGCUUGGCCAAGAAGAAAGAAGUAUGAGGAAUAUUAUCGYAACCUUGAUCCCGAGAAAGAAGCCAAGAUGAUUGAAACGAAUUUGAAAGCAUGGGAAGAGGAAAGACARUAGAUUUGAUAUAAGGCAAUGUUUUGUGAUUAUGAUUUAAGACAUUUAAAGUUGAUAAAACUGUCAAUUGCASUAUUUCAAAGAAUAGUAAACAAUAGAAACUGCAGAUCAUGUCCGCAGCAGCCUUUGUUCGGUGGAUGGUGUGUAGGUGAAACCGGCGGCGAUUCUCCGCCUUAAAUACUAAUGAUGACAAUACUCAUCAUACAAACUAAAAGAUAACACAUACAAAAUUAUUGAACGUCAACUUAAGUAAAACUUGUUAAAAUAAAAAAGAUUUCUGAUUCAGCAAGUUAACAGYGCCAGUCAAUUUGUUCCGCCUUGAGGCAUCCUGUUAUAAUUGUUUCCAUAGGUACGGUGUCAACGUUUUGCAACUUUUCCAGUGCAAUGUUUCAUUCAUUGCAAAACAUUUUGCUAUAGUAUCUGAAAGAAGCCGUACUUAUGGCUCUCAUUCUGACCGUUCCUUGAAUUGUACUGGUAUUGUAGAUGCUUUACUUCUAUUGGUCGCUUUCUGACAGUUCUAAAUUUGGUUCAACAGUGUCAUGCUAAAAGGCACGUUUCAACCCCAGACGUCUUUCCAAACACAGUAUCUACUGUUCAUUAGAAAUUAAGCAAGUGGUUCUGUCAGAAGGAAUAACUAGCUCUCUACCAACAAGAUUAAGGACUCAGGAYUCGCUUUUUGUGGAGGAGUGCUGAAYCAAAAUAGACUGCCCAGUAAAAUGGCGCCACAAUUACGCGGACUGGUUCAACGUAGUAUGAUGAAGGAUAUCGCACAAGCCGUCGGAUUUGCUUUUGUUGUUGGUUUGGGAUGGAGAUAUUUUUACGCCGAGCCAAAGAGAAAGAAAUACGAGGAUUAUUACAAGAACUUUGACGCUGAAAAAGAAGCUAAAAUCAUGGAGGCGGAACAAUUGGCAAGGGAACAAUAGGUCAUGUUGUUAUUGGUGUCAAAUGAACCUGUGUUGAGCAAGAUACAUAAUCAUCAUGUCUGCAUUUCUUGUGAACUAGACUCUUAUUGAAAUUAUUGUUGAUAAAAAAUUGUUCCAAAUAUA
Exaiptasia diaphana is the source of this 1435-nucleotide long non-coding RNA. RefSeq lists it as uncharacterized. The record is from RefSeq and is a predicted model, not a curated record. The transcript is spliced from 4 exons. Lineage: Eukaryota; Metazoa; Cnidaria; Anthozoa; Actiniaria; Aiptasiidae.